ACUAGGAUGGCCGAGUGGUUAAGGCGUUGGACUUAAGUUCCAGUGUACGAGUGUACGCGUGGGUUCGAACCCCACUCCUGGUA
This 83-nucleotide transfer RNA is filed under the name Actinia tenebrosa (Australian red waratah sea anemone). Its description in RNAcentral is "tRNA-Leu". It matches the Rfam family "tRNA". From Rfam's summary of the family: Transfer RNA (tRNA) molecules are approximately 80 nucleotides in length. RNAcentral also lists the same sequence under 1 other name. Lineage: Eukaryota; Metazoa; Cnidaria; Anthozoa; Actiniaria; Actiniidae. The record is from Rfam by way of RNAcentral.